UCAAGAAACUUCCACAAUGGGCGAAAGCCUGAUGGAGCGACGUCGCGUGAUGGACGAAGUGCUUCGGCACGUAAACAUCUUUUAUGUGGGAUGAAAUUAUUGACAGUACCACAUGAAUAAGGGGCUCCUAACUCUGUGCCAGCAGGAGCGGUAAUACAGAGGCCCCAAGCGUUAUCCGGAAUCACUGGGCGUAAAGGGUGUCGAGGCGGUUGUAUUAGUCGUUCGUAAAAUCUACGAGCUUAACUUGUAGGCGGCGAACGAAACGGUACGACUUGAGGUUUGGAGAGGUGCGUGGAACUCACGGUGUAGGGGUGAAAUCCGUUGAUAUCGUGGGGAACACCAAAGGCGAAGGCAGCGCGACUGGCCAAAAUCUGACGCUCACACACGAAAGCUAGGGUAGCGAAGAGGAUUAGAUACCCCCGUAGUCCCUGAGCGGGCUGGCAAGGCGCAU
RNAcentral lists this ribosomal RNA (451 nucleotides) under uncultured bacterium. RNAcentral describes it as "bacterial SSU rRNA". It matches the Rfam family "Bacterial small subunit ribosomal RNA", at positions 355 to 825 of the family's 1533-position model. The record is from RNAcentral.